This 262-nucleotide ribosomal RNA is filed under the name uncultured Comamonadaceae bacterium. RNAcentral's name for it is "partial 16S ribosomal RNA". It matches the Rfam family "Bacterial small subunit ribosomal RNA", at positions 355 to 609 of the family's 1533-position model. Lineage: Bacteria; Pseudomonadati; Pseudomonadota; Betaproteobacteria; Burkholderiales; Comamonadaceae. The record is from RNAcentral.
GGGAAGUUUUUGGACAAUGGGCGCAAGCCUGAUCCAGCCAUUCCGCGUGCAGGAUGAAGGCCCUCGGGUUGUAAACUGCUUUUGUACGGAACGAAAAGGCUCUGGUUAAUACCUGGGGCUCAUGACGGUACCGUAAGAAUAAGCACCGGCUAACUACGUGCCAGCAGCCGCGGUAAUACGUAGGGUGCAAGCGUUAAUCGGAAUUACUGGGCGUAAAGCGUGCGCAGGCGGUUUUGUAAGACAGGUGUGAAAUCCCGGCUAG